CUCGGCGCUUCCGGGCAGCUCCCCGGCAGAGCCUGGGGUCCUGCGGCUGCGUUCCUAGGACGGAGGUUGCCCGGACCUGUUUUGUGCCCAUCAUGCCCUUCUCAAGAGUGACCAGCAAUGGGCUUGCAGGGAGGAGUUCCCCAGGGAGUAAGUGUGAUUCGUGGCUCUGUCCAGCUCACAGCUAUGGCUCAGAUGGAAGAAUUGAGGCAUGAUGCUUGGAGCCCAGGCAGGGAGGAUCAAAAUGUUCACGGCCAACCUGGGUUACCCAUCAACCUGGGUUAG
RNAcentral lists this long non-coding RNA (282 nucleotides) under Meriones unguiculatus (Mongolian gerbil). Its description in RNAcentral is "lncRNA (ENSMUGG00000022998.1)". Lineage: Eukaryota; Metazoa; Chordata; Mammalia; Rodentia; Muridae. The record is from RNAcentral.